RNAcentral lists this ribosomal RNA (520 nucleotides) under uncultured Glomus. Its description in RNAcentral is "SSU rRNA". It matches the Rfam family "Eukaryotic small subunit ribosomal RNA", at positions 569 to 1091 of the family's 1831-position model. The record is from RNAcentral. Lineage: Eukaryota; Fungi; Glomeromycota; Glomeromycetes; Glomerales; Glomeraceae.
AGCAGCCGCGGUAAUUCCAGCUCCAAUAGCGUAUAUUAAAGUUGUUGCAGUUAAAAAGCUCGUAGUUGAAUUUCGGGGUUAGUAGGUUGGUCAUGCCUCUGGUAUGUACUGGUCUCACUGAUUCCUCCUUCCUUAUGAACCGUAAUGCCAUUAAUUUGGUGUUGCGGGAAAUUUGGACUGUUACUUUGAAAAAAUUAGAGUGUUUAAAGCAGGCUCACGCUUGAAUACAUUAGCAUGGAAUAACGGAAUAGGACGUUUGAUUUUAUUUUGUUGGUUUCUAGGAUCGACGUAAUGAUUAAUAGGGAUAGUUGGGGGCAUUAGUAUUCAAUUGUCAGAGGUGAAAUUCUUGGAUUUAUUGAAGACUAACUACUGCGAAAGCAUUUGCCAAGGAUGUUUUCAUUAAUCAAGACGAAAGUUAGGGGAUCGAAGACGAUCAGAUACCGUCGUAGUCUUAACCAUAAACUAUGCCGACUAGGGAUCGGAUGAUGUUAAUUUUUUAAUGACUCAUUCGGCGCCUUAC